UUUUCAAAUUGGCAAUGUUUAUCUAGAAAAACUAUAAUGAAUAAAAUGUCAACUACUACGGCCGAUUUAUAAGCUAAAUUCAAAGCACAAUUAUCAUCUACUGAAGUUAAAUAUGUUUGUGCUACAGCGGAUUGUUGACUUUAUGUUGUAUAACAGUAUCCAGAGAUUCUUCAGAGAUUAUCAGCUGGGCUUGCUUGUCGUUGCUUAAAAGAGUCUGAAAAUUUAAAUGAAAAUGCGGAGAUGGAAGAGGAAGAAGAAUUAGAGUUAAUUGAAAUAAGUGAUGUUUUAAAUGAACAAAUUACAUUUAAGACUAACUCCAAAAUAUUAUUCUCUUCCACCACAUCAUCGU
This 349-nucleotide long non-coding RNA is filed under the name Sipha flava (yellow sugarcane aphid). Its description in RNAcentral is "uncharacterized LOC112693864, transcript variant X1". Lineage: Eukaryota; Metazoa; Arthropoda; Insecta; Hemiptera; Aphididae. The record is from RNAcentral.